GUAGGUGGCGAACGUUAUCCGGAAUUAUUGGGCGUAAAGGGUGCGUAGAUGGUUUAGUAAGUUAUCGGUGGUAAAUCGAGGCCCAACCUCGUGGAAGUUGGUAAUACUACUAUACUUGAGUACAGGAGAGGUUAACGGAAUGGUUCAUGUAGGGGUAAAAUCCGUAGAUAUGAAUUAGAACACCAAUAACGGCGAAGGCAGUUAACUAUUCUGUUACUGACAUUGAGGCACGAAAGCGUGGGGAGCAAAAAGGAUUAGAUACCCUUGUAGUCCACGCCCUAAACGAUGAGUGCUAGAUAUUGGAAACUUGAUUUUCAGUGUCGCAAGGUAACCCGGUAAGCACUCCGCCUGGGUAGUACGCUCGCAAGAGUG
RNAcentral lists this ribosomal RNA (372 nucleotides) under uncultured bacterium. Its description in RNAcentral is "bacterial SSU rRNA". It matches the Rfam family "Bacterial small subunit ribosomal RNA", at positions 527 to 896 of the family's 1533-position model. The record is from RNAcentral.